AGAGUUGAUCAUGGCUCAGGAUGAACGCUAGCUACAGGCUUAACACAUGCAAGUCGAGGGGUAGCAGGGUAGCAAUACCGCUGACGACCGGCGCACGGGUGAGUAACACGUAUCCAACCUUCCCAUAACUCAGGGAUAGCCUUUCGAAAGAAAGAUUAAUACCUGAUAGUACGUUUUUCAAGGCAUCUUAGAGAAAGUUAAAGAUUUAUUGGUUAUGGAUGGGGAUGCGUUCCAUUAGAUAGUUGGUGAGGUAACGGCUCACCAAGUCUUCGAUGGAUAGGGGUUCUGAGAGGAAGGUCCCCCACAUUGGUACUGAGACACGGACCAAACUCCUACGGGAGGCAGCAGUGAGGAAUAUUGGUCAAUGGGCGAGAGCCUGAACCAGCCAAGUAGCGUGAAGGAAUGAAGGUCCUAUGGAUUGUAAACUUCUUUUAUAGUAGAAUAAAGUGAUCCACGUGUGGAUUUUUGUAUGUAUACUAUGAAUAAGGAUCGGCUAACUCCGUGCCAGCCGCCGC
Molecule: ribosomal RNA, 515 nt
Filed under: uncultured bacterium
Lineage: Bacteria
Description: bacterial SSU rRNA
Rfam family: Bacterial small subunit ribosomal RNA
Source: RNAcentral